Oryzias latipes (Japanese medaka) is the source of this 463-nucleotide long non-coding RNA. RefSeq lists it as uncharacterized. NCBI's taxonomy places the organism in Eukaryota, Metazoa, Chordata, Actinopteri, Beloniformes, Adrianichthyidae. The record is from RefSeq and is a predicted model, not a curated record.
CUUCCCACGCCUUCUUUACUGGAAAAGAGGUUGCAGGGAUCAUUUCACUCCACGGCCGCUGUGCGGCGAGGUCCAGGUGGCGUUUGCUGUGGCGGCCAGGGGUUAUGGAGCCGGCUGCGAUGCACCACUGUGGGGUAGAUGCAUGUCAUGGUACCCCCUGCUGGCCCCGCCUCCUCAUCAGGUUAACCUGAGGACUCCAGCUGCGCUUCAUCAUCUUCAUCAGCCGGGGGACUCUUAAGGAGAACCAGGACCCUUACUCGACGCUAGUUCGUUGUACUCCACGGAUCACGAUCACGCCUGUCACGUUCUGGACUCCGACUCACCUUCGCUCUGGUCCCUCCUCGUCGCCCCUCUGGACAUCCUUCUGGAAACGCGGUGUUCGCCGCCAAGACCCUCCAACCAUCCACAAAACAUCCUCUCUUGGAACUCUGUCAUUCCUCCAUUAAAUCCUUUACUACUCGUC